GCUUUUGAGGGUGAUGUGACUGUGACAGCUCUCACCUCAUUAAUUUCCAGAAUUAGUUUGGCUGAUCUGGCUGGCGAGGCCAAUGUUCUUUUCCUCUUUCACCACUCCAUAGGUUUCCCUCUGGAAACCAUGUGCUUCAUGGAAGUGGUUGACCAUCCAAGAGGUUCUUCAUGACAGCUGUGCUCUCCUGUUAGAACUUGCAAAUAAGCUCAGGGUCCAUUUUUCGAAGAUAUUGGCUUAUCUUUUUAUUUCCCUACCCCUCACAAAAAGUAUGUGUUUUGUUU
This 284-nucleotide small nuclear RNA is filed under the name Salvator merianae (Argentine black and white tegu). RNAcentral's name for it is "7SK RNA (ENSSMRG00000001825.1)". It matches the Rfam family "7SK RNA". From Rfam's summary of the family: 7SK was discovered as an abundant small nuclear RNA in the mid-70s but a possible function has only recently been suggested. Two independent studies have found that 7SK RNA binds the CDK9/cyclin T complex (known as elongation factor P-TEFb). The record is from RNAcentral. Lineage: Eukaryota; Metazoa; Chordata; Lepidosauria; Squamata; Teiidae.